Molecule: long non-coding RNA, 203 nt
Filed under: Brassica napus (rape)
Lineage: Eukaryota; Viridiplantae; Streptophyta; Magnoliopsida; Brassicales; Brassicaceae
Description: long non-coding RNA (BNAP_LNC024356)
Source: RNAcentral
GGAGGGCUUGGAUUUCUAAAUUUUCAGAGUUUUAAUGUGGUGUAACUAGCGAAACAACUAUCGAGAUUAAUACAGUUUCCAAACUCACUACUUCUCGAGUACUUAGAGGACGCUACUACAACCAGUCAUGCCUUUGGAAAUACUAUCGGGGAAUGCCUCAUCACAAGUGUAUGAUACGAACCUUGGAUCCCAUACACAGAGGC